GUAGGUGGCAAGCGUUGUCCGGAAUUAUUGGGCGUAAAGCGCGCGCAGGUGGUUCUUUAAGUCUGAUGUGAAAGCCCCCGGCUCAACCGGGGAGGGUCAUUGGAGACUGGGGAACUUGAGUGCAGGAGAGGAAAGUGGAAUUCCACGUGUAGCGGUGAAAUGCGUAGAUAUGUGGAGGAACACCAGUGGCGAAGGCGACUUUCUGGCCUGUAACUGACACUGAGGCGCGAAGGCGUGGGGAGCAAACAGGGAUUAGAUACCCUGGUAGUCCACGCCGUAAACGAUGAGUGCUAAGUGUUGGGGGGGUUUCCCGCCCCUCAGUGCUGCAGCUAACGCAUUAAGCACUCCGCCUGGGGAUACGGUCGCAAGACUG
This 373-nucleotide ribosomal RNA is filed under the name uncultured organism. Its description in RNAcentral is "partial 16S ribosomal RNA". It matches the Rfam family "Bacterial small subunit ribosomal RNA", at positions 527 to 896 of the family's 1533-position model. The record is from RNAcentral.